GAAGUUUUGCGAGGAAAUCAGCCAGCAAGGGAUCGACAUUUCAGGAGAUCGACUUUUUUCUUCCAAGGAAAAGUCGACCCCUCAAGGAGCUAGGCUUUCAGACAUAGGCUUCCAAGGAAUCCUCCAAGUGCACUAGGAGUCGACUUUUUGAAGAUCGACUUUUCUCUUCAAGCAAAAGUCGAACCCACCUUCCAAGAAAAGUCGAACACUACAGGAUGGUAGUAACUCGAAGCACUUCCCAGGGAGGAGGAGCAAAUUCUCAGGAGGCG
RNAcentral lists this long non-coding RNA (269 nucleotides) under Zostera marina. Its description in RNAcentral is "long non-coding RNA (ZMAR_LNC000243)". Lineage: Eukaryota; Viridiplantae; Streptophyta; Magnoliopsida; Alismatales; Zosteraceae. The record is from RNAcentral.